UACGAAGGGGGCUAGCGUUGCUCGGAAUGACUGGGCGUAAAGCGCACGUAGGCGGCUUUGUAAGUUAGAGGUGAAAGCCCGGGGCUCAACUCCGGAAUUGCCUUUAAGACUGCAUCGCUAGAAUUGUGGAGAGGUAAGUGGAAUUCCGAGUGUAGAGGUGAAAUUCGUAGAUAUUCGGAAGAACACCAGUGGCGAAGGCGACUUACUGGACACAUAUUGACGCUGAGGUGCGAAAGCGUGGGGAGCAAACAGG
This 253-nucleotide ribosomal RNA is filed under the name uncultured bacterium. Its description in RNAcentral is "partial 16S ribosomal RNA". It matches the Rfam family "Bacterial small subunit ribosomal RNA", at positions 524 to 776 of the family's 1533-position model. The record is from RNAcentral.